UGUGUCAUCCGCAAUGGAAAAUGCACGCGGCAUGAACCCAAUCGUGUGUUACAAUUUUUCUCAGUAAAGCUGGCUGAACUUACUGUGGGUGUUGGCUCAGUAGAGUUGUAUGGAUACAUAGUAGUGCGGGAUGGUCUGGAUCCAUUGCUUAAUUACGUUGUCAAUAUAAGCAGGGACGAUCCCAUCAUCGUGGAGCAGGGUUCUCUCGUCAACAUGGUUGGCCCUAAGCGAGGGAUAGAUAUGUAUUCCACUAUUCUACUGGAAUAUGACAUGAGGAUCAAGGCAGGCAAAGUAGAAGAUGAUGAUCACCAGCUGAUUGAUGGUGUAUCAGCACUAAGCGACCUGCAGGGCACAUGGAAUCGUGCAUUCAGAAAACGCAUCCAUGGCGAUUGCGGCACGGUUGACUUAGUUUUAGCACGUAUCCAUGAUGCGGUCCUGGCGAAUGUGGAAGUUGUCAUAUCAGAGGUGCAGAACAGUUUCAAUCUGCGUCUCCGGUGUUUCAUUGGUGGUUAUAAAAAGGAAAUCCGGCUUUUCGAUGGCGCCAUUGGCGAGUCACGUGGCUUAAAGAGGUCUGUGGUUGCUGUGGUGGAUGGUUCCACUAUGGAUUUGAAGUUCGAGGUUGCCUCGGAGCCAUCCUGCUCAGCGGAGCACCGUUGUUCCUUCACGGCGGACACGCAUGGGCUUGCUACUCGAGAGAUAAAGACUGAGUUUGGGUUGAUCUCAGUGAAGGUGGCUUGGUCGAGUCUGCUUUCUAACUAG
This 759-nucleotide ribosomal RNA is filed under the name Triticum aestivum (bread wheat). RNAcentral describes it as "partial small subunit ribosomal RNA". The record is from RNAcentral. Lineage: Eukaryota; Viridiplantae; Streptophyta; Magnoliopsida; Poales; Poaceae.